UGUCAGCACUAGAUGUGGC
This 19-nucleotide non-coding RNA is filed under the name Mus musculus (house mouse). Lineage: Eukaryota; Metazoa; Chordata; Mammalia; Rodentia; Muridae. The record is from RNAcentral.